Pseudopipra pipra is the source of this 546-nucleotide long non-coding RNA. RefSeq lists it as uncharacterized. NCBI's taxonomy places the organism in Eukaryota, Metazoa, Chordata, Aves, Passeriformes, Pipridae. The record is from RefSeq and is a predicted model, not a curated record. The transcript has 2 exons.
GACCUUCCACUGAGCUGCAGGAAGGGCACCAGUCCCAAAGGGAAAGGGAUGGCAAUUCAGCAGACCUUCUGCAGAUGAAAAUCCUACUGGAAAAAGGCUUUGAAACACACCUGAGCACAUCACUUGGUGACACUAUUUGAGAAGAUGUAAGCCAAGGGAAGCUGAUCCCUUCUGUUUUUAUACCCAAAUCCAAUGUCAGCACUCACCAUCUCCCAUUUCAUCCGAGAAGGGCAGACUGAAAACGGCCUCGUCGAUCAUCCGGUUGGGGAGGUUGGUGUAGAACCUCCCAACUGUGGUCUCCAGAUUGCUCAGCUGGUUCAGGACCAUCAUGCUGCCCUUGGUCACAGGAAGGGCUGUUCUGUCUGGCACCCCAUAUUUCACCGAGUUCUGCUCUGCCAGGUCCCUCAGAAAGGCCAGUUCCUUCAACCCUGUCACCCCCUCUGAAACACAGAUGCAAGAAACAGAAGGAAGCAGACAAAAGAAUUUCCAUCAAGGCUUCUGUAUCUUACUCCAAAUAACUGUAAAUAAAAGCAAAGUUAUACAUCC